UACGAAGGGGGCUAGCGUUGCUCGGAAUCACUGGGCGUAAAGCGCACGUAGGCGGAUCUUUAAGUCAGGGGUGAAAUCCUGGAGCUCAACUCCAGAACUGCCUUUGAUACUGAGGAUCUUGAGUCCGGGAAAGGUGAGUGGAACUCCGAGUGUAGAGGUGAAAUUCGUAGAUAUUCGGAAGAACACCAGUGGCGAAGGCGGCUCACUGGCCCGGUACUGACGCUGAGGUGCGAAAGCGUGGGGAGCAAACAGG
Molecule: ribosomal RNA, 253 nt
Filed under: uncultured bacterium
Lineage: Bacteria
Description: partial 16S ribosomal RNA
Rfam family: Bacterial small subunit ribosomal RNA
Source: RNAcentral